This 432-nucleotide ribosomal RNA is filed under the name uncultured bacterium. RNAcentral describes it as "partial 16S ribosomal RNA". It matches the Rfam family "Bacterial small subunit ribosomal RNA", at positions 29 to 506 of the family's 1533-position model. The record is from RNAcentral.
AACGAACGCUGGCGGCAUGCCUAACACAUGCAAGUCGAACGAGACCUUCGGGUCUAGUGGCGCACGGGUGCGUAACGCGUGGGAACCUGCCCUUAGGUUCGGAAUAACUCCCCGAAAGGGGUGCUAAUACCGGAUAAUGUCUUCGGACCAAAGAUUUAUCGCCUUUGGAUGGGCCCGCGUUGGAUUAGCUAGUUGGUAGGGUAAAAGCCGACCAAGGCGACGAUCCAUAGCUGGUCUGUGAGGAUGAUCGGCCACACUGGGACUGGGACACGGCCCAGACGCCACGGAGAGGAGGGGGUGGGGAAAAAUGGGCAGGGGGCCAAAUCCUGACCCAGCGAGGCCGGGGUGGCGAAGAAGGCCUUGGGGUUGUAAAUCUCUUUUACCCGGGAUGAAAAGACGGGUACCGGGAAAAAAACCCCCGCUAAACUCCGU